RNAcentral lists this ribosomal RNA (429 nucleotides) under Bacteroidota bacterium. RNAcentral's name for it is "Bacteroidetes bacterium partial 16S ribosomal RNA". It matches the Rfam family "Bacterial small subunit ribosomal RNA", at positions 355 to 776 of the family's 1533-position model. The record is from RNAcentral. Lineage: Bacteria; Pseudomonadati; Bacteroidota.
UAGGGAAUCUUCCGCAAUGGCCGCAAGUCUGACGGAGCAACGCCGCGUGAGUGAAGAAGGAUUUCGGUUCGUAAAACUCUGUUGUUAGAGAAGAACAGCGCAUAGAGUAACUGUUAUGCGUGUGACGGUAUCUAACAAGAAAGCCACGGCUAACUAAGUGGCAGCAGUCGCGGUAAUACGUAGGUGGCAAGCGUUGUCCGGAUUUAUUGGGCGUAAAGCGAGCGCAGGCGGUCAAAUAAGUCUGAUGUGAAAGCCCCCGUCUCAACCGGGGAGGGUGAUUGGAAACUGGUUGACUUGAAUGCAGAAGAGGAGAGUAGAAAUCCAUGUGGAGCGGAGAAAUGCAUAGAUAUCUGGAGGAACACCAGUGGCGAAGGCGACUCUCUGGUCUGUAACUGACGCUGAGGUUCGAAAGCGUGGGUAGCAAACAGG